UAAAACCAGCUCUUAGAGUGGUGGGCAUGAUUAUUUGGCUUAAAGGGUGCGUAGCAGGACAGCGUAAGUCCCCCGUGAAAUGCUAGGUCUUAAGCUUAGCGCGGGCGGGGGAUACUGUGCGUCUUGGGACCGGGAUAGGUGCAAGGUAUGCAUUGGGUAGGGGUGAAAUCCGAUAAUCCAAUGCAGACCACCGGUGGCGAAGGCGUUGCACUAGAACGGGUCCGACUGUGAGGCACGAAAGCUAGGGUCGCGAGCCGGAUUAGAUACCCGGGUAGUCCUAGCUGUAAACGAUGCUCACUAAGUGUUAGGCAAUGCAAGACGUUGUCUAGUGCCGAAGCGAAAGCGUUAAGUGAGCCGCCUGGGAAGUACGUUCGCAAGAAUG
This 382-nucleotide ribosomal RNA is filed under the name uncultured archaeon. RNAcentral describes it as "bacterial SSU rRNA". It matches the Rfam family "Archaeal small subunit ribosomal RNA", at positions 471 to 851 of the family's 1478-position model. The record is from RNAcentral.